AUGAGAUGGCUGCUGCUCUCAGCCUGGUCCCCAGGAGAGGAGCUGGGCUGGAUUUCCCCUCCAGCUGCAUGGCUGCUGCCGGUGGAGAAGAUCUGGCCUGCAAUGACCAGCCCUAAGACAGAGAUAUCAUUGACCAUCCAUUGCAGCCACUCAUCUGAGGUCUGGAGAGUUGGGACUCUGCAACCAUUCAGUGAAGUUAACCCUUCUCCGUUUCCUUUGGGAAGCUGCAUCCCUGGAGUGCUCCCUUUGCAGGCACCAGCACAUUGCAGUCAGCAGCAUUUUUCAAGCACACGUCUGCUCCGAGAAAUGAUGCUGUACAAACACAUUAUGGCAAGGUCUCACAGCCUUUAAGAGGAUGAAAUCAACAGCAGGCCACACAAAUUCAAUCAAAAGUCUGCAGAGAUUAACCCUGGAAAACAGUACACCUGAAUAAAAAAUUGCAAGUUUUAUGAACCUACAAAAUGCUGUAUGUGGCUUAUGUUAGCAAAGUUAAGGUUGAUACAGUAUACAGUUAGAAAAAAAAGAAAAAGUCACUUCUGGUACUCACGAAAAAAAAAGAUUCUGCAGUUCAUUACAUGGCUCAUCUGUGUCAGUGCUGCAGGGCUCAAAAAAAUAAAAAGCAAUAAAAUCUGACUUUGUGUGUAAUACCAGCAGAUCCACGGCUAAAUAUGCAAAGGCACAGCUCUCUUUUGUAAGAUAGCACCGUUUUUCCACAGCCUUUUUUUCACAGAAAACCCACGCUUUCUGAGUGAGGCUUUUAUAGUUUCCUUUUCAAGUGGCAGUUUAUUUCAGAAAAACAAAGCCACUGUUUUCAUCAGUUCCCGUGCACUUGGGGAGCCUCGUCUCUCGCCGGCAGAAGAGAUGGAAGGAGAUUUCCAUCCCCUGCCCUUCCCCAGGCCAUCACGCGCUCCCCCCGCGAAAUGGAGGCCGGGGCAAGGCCGCGGGCCCAGCAGCCCUCCCGCCGGCCGGGCUUCCUCUUUCCCCCGCCUGGUGGGCGCCCUGGCCUCAGCCCCACUUUCCACACCACGGCCUCACGUCAGCGUGGGCC
This 1048-nucleotide long non-coding RNA is filed under the name Cairina moschata (Muscovy duck). RNAcentral describes it as "domestica (muscovy Duck (domestic type)) lncRNA (ENSCMMG00000016079.1)". The record is from RNAcentral. Lineage: Eukaryota; Metazoa; Chordata; Aves; Anseriformes; Anatidae.